GAUGAACGCUGGCGGCGUGCCUAAUACGUGCAAGUCGAGCGAACAGACGAGGAGCUUGCUCCUCUGACGUUAGCGGCGGACGGGUGAGUAACACGUGGAUAACCUACCUAUAAGACUGGGAUAACUUCGGGAAACCGGAGCUAAUACCGGAUAAUAUAUUGAACCGCAUGGUUCAAUAGUGAAAGACGGUUUUGCUGUCACUUAUAGAUGGAUCCGCGCCGCAUUAGCUAGUUGGUAAGGUAACGGCUUACCAAGGCAACGAUGCGUAGCCGACCUGAGAGGGUGAUCGGCCACACUGGAACUGAGACACGGUUCAGACUCCUACGGGAGGCAGCAGUAGGGAAUCUUCCGCAAUGGGCGAAAGCCUGACGGAGCAACGCCGCGUGAGUGAUGAAGGUCUUCGGAUCGUAAAACUCUGUUAUUAGGGAAGAACAAAUGUGUAAGUAACUAUGCACGUCUUGACGGUACCUAAUCAGAAAGCCACGGCUAACUACGUG
Molecule: ribosomal RNA, 497 nt
Filed under: uncultured bacterium
Lineage: Bacteria
Description: partial 16S ribosomal RNA
Rfam family: Bacterial small subunit ribosomal RNA
Source: RNAcentral